GUACACGCUGUGACUAGCAUAUCAAUAAGCGGAGGAAAAGAAACUAACUAGGAUUCCCCUAGUAACAGGCGAGUGAAGCGGGAAGAGCUCAAAUUUGAAAUCUUAAAGGGUUUCCCUUUACGAAUUGUAGUUUAAAGAAGUGUUUUCUGUUGAGGUUUUGGUAAAAGUUCUUUGGAAUAGGACAUCAUAGAGGGUGAGAAUCCCGUAUUUGACCUUUACUUUCAACUUUGUGAUACACUUUCAAAGAGUCGGAUUGUUUGGGAAUGCAGUCCAAAAUGGGUGGUAAAUUUCAUCUAAAGCUAAAUAUUGGCGAGAGACCGAUAGCGAACAAGUACCGUGAGGGAAAGAUGAAAAGAACUUUGAAAAGAGAGUUAAACAGUACGUGAAAUUGUCAAAAGGGAAGCGUUUGACACCAGUGUUGUUUUUCUGAAAAUCAAUUAAAGAACUGUUUAUGCUAAGUUGUUUAGACUUUAUCAGCUAACUGUUUAGUUUUGAGCUUUUCUUUAAUGCACUUUUCAGUUAACAAGUCAACAUCAAUUUCUUUUGCUGUAAAAAAGCUUGAGGAAGGUGGCUUGAGAUUCGUCUUAAGUGUUUAUAGCCUCUUGCCUAUGCAGUCGGAGAGAUUGAGGUCUGCAGCGUAGAUCCUUCGGGGCUAAAUGCAUUUGUGCUAAGUUAUAGCAUUUCAUAGACAACUUGUUGACUAUGAUUUGUCUUGUAGCUUACUCGCUUAUGUUAUUUUACCUACGCUUAGGAUGUUGACAGCAGUAUAGACUGU
This 775-nucleotide ribosomal RNA is filed under the name uncultured Neocallimastigales. RNAcentral describes it as "partial large subunit ribosomal RNA". It matches the Rfam family "Eukaryotic large subunit ribosomal RNA", at positions 22 to 637 of the family's 3401-position model. The record is from RNAcentral. Lineage: Eukaryota; Fungi; Neocallimastigomycota; Neocallimastigomycetes; Neocallimastigales.